RNAcentral lists this long non-coding RNA (493 nucleotides) under Homo sapiens (human). Its description in RNAcentral is "HSALNT0213303". The record is from RNAcentral. Lineage: Eukaryota; Metazoa; Chordata; Mammalia; Primates; Hominidae.
CUGGAAUUGCAGGAGGAUGGAGAGGGAGGGGUCAGGAGAAUGCCCUGCCUGGGUUUCAGAUGUGACCAGCUGGGCAGAUGGAGCUGCCAUCUGGAGGGAGAAUCCCAGCUUCGACAUUGAGAUCUUCCGCAGAGGGAAGCGAGGCUGUCAAGGACAGGUGCCUGUGUACCCGUGCCUCCUGCUCUUCUCUUCCUCCUCAUUCCUUUAUUCUUCCUUCUACCCCUUCCCUACAGUGACCUCUGUCACCACAAGAUCAAGAGGCCAGAGAACCUACUUCCAAUUCAGAGUGUGAAUUCCCAUGAAAAUCCAAUCAUCAAAUUCUAUGGAAAGUAAGGCGUCCUGAGUUCCUCACCUCAUCUUUCACUCCUUGGCAUGGUGCCUCCUCAAGGUUACAGGUAGGACACUUGGCUCAGGUUCCCCUGAAUUCUGUGAACAGAAGAAUUAGAAAUAAACAAACAAUUCCAAAAUAAAACCCAGAUAGUUAUGGGUUCCC